This 527-nucleotide ribosomal RNA is filed under the name uncultured bacterium. Its description in RNAcentral is "bacterial SSU rRNA". It matches the Rfam family "Bacterial small subunit ribosomal RNA", at positions 8 to 526 of the family's 1533-position model. The record is from RNAcentral.
AGAGUUUGAUCCUGGCUCAGAUUGAACGCUGGCGGCAUGCCUAACACAUGCAAGUCGAACGGCAGCGCGGGGAGCUUGCUCCCUGGCGGCGAGUGGCGGACGGGUGAGGAAUGCAUCGGAAUCUGCCCAGUCGUGGGGGAUAACCCGGGGAAACCCGGACUAAUACCGCAUACGACCUUCGGGUGAAAGCGGGGGACCGUAAGGCCUCGCGCGAUUGGAUGAGCCGAUGCCGGAUUAGCUUGUUGGCGGGGUAAUGGCCCACCAAGGCGACGAUCCGUAGCUGGUCUGAGAGGAUGAUCAGCCACACUGGGACUGAGACACGGCCCAGACUCCUACGGGAGGCAGCAGUGGGGAAUAUUGGACAAUGGGGGCAACCCUGAUCCAGCAAUGCCGCGUGUGUGAAGAAGGCCUUCGGGUUGUAAAGCACUUUUAUCGGGAACGAAACAUUGUCGGCCAAUACCCGGCAAGACUGACGGUACCCGAGGAAUAAGCACCGGCUAACUCCGUGCCAGCCGCCGCGGUAAUUC